GGCUGCAGAAUUUAUAACUGUACAAAGGUAGCAUAAUAAUUUGUUUUUUAAUUAAAAACUAGUAUGAAUGAUUAAAUGAAAUAUAAACUGUUUCAAUUAAAUAAAAUUUUAAAUUUUUAUUUAAGUAAAAAAACUUAAAUAAAUUUAAAAGACGACAAGACCCUAUAGAAUUUUAUUUAUUAUUUAAAAAUAAAAUCUAAUUAAUUUAUUAAAAUUUAAUUAAUAAAUUUAAUUGGGGUAAUUUAAAAAUUAUAAAAAUUUUUUUUAUAUAAAACAUUAAUUAAUGAUUAUAAAAUCUUAAAUUUUAAAUUAUUAAAAUUAAUUACCUUAGGGAUAACAGCAUAAUUUUUUUUAAAAGACCUUAUU
Molecule: ribosomal RNA, 366 nt
Filed under: Chorebus andizhanicus
Lineage: Eukaryota; Metazoa; Arthropoda; Insecta; Hymenoptera; Braconidae
Description: partial large subunit ribosomal RNA
Source: RNAcentral